Molecule: ribosomal RNA, 515 nt
Filed under: uncultured bacterium
Lineage: Bacteria
Description: partial 16S ribosomal RNA
Rfam family: Bacterial small subunit ribosomal RNA
Source: RNAcentral
GAUGAACGCUGGCGGCGUGCCUAAUACAUGCAAGUCGAGCGAAUGGAUUAAGAGCUUGCUCUUAUGAAGUUAGCGGCGGACGGGUGAGUAACACGUGGGUAACCUGCCCAUAAGACUGGGAUAACUCCGGGAAACCGGGGCUAAUACCGGAUAACAUUUUGAACCGCAUGGUUCGAAAUUGAAAGGCGGCUUCGGCUGUCACUUAUGGAUGGACCCGCGUCGCAUUAGCUAGUUGGUGAGGUAACGGCUCACCAAGGCAACGAUGCGUAGCCGACGUGAGAGGGUGAUCGGCCAACCUGGGACUGAGACACGGCCCGGACUCCUACGGGAGGCAGCAGUAGGGAAUCUUCCGCAAUGGACGAAAGUCUGACGGAGCAACGCCGCGUGAGUGAUGAAGGCUUUCGGGUCGUAAAACUCUGUUGUUAGGGAAGAACAAGUGCUAGUUGAAUAAGCUGGCACCUUGACGGUACCUAACCAGAAAGCCACGGCUAACUACGUGCCAGCAGCCGCCGCCG